Molecule: small RNA, 543 nt
Filed under: Malus domestica (apple)
Lineage: Eukaryota; Viridiplantae; Streptophyta; Magnoliopsida; Rosales; Rosaceae
Description: sRNA MD11G0101700
Source: RNAcentral
GCAGAAGGGACACCUGAUACAACGGCUAUUUACUUCUCAGGAAGCCUUUCUUUCCUAAAACGAGCACCAGCAUAAGAUGUGUGAACCCUAGAAAGUGUGGUUGUUCUACCUCUCGGAGUGAUCCAAGAGACCUGCUGGUUUGAAGCUCGAAGCAUAAGUUGACAUAUCCAUUGGUGGUAUAGGCUUGAAAAUCCAGAUAGGAAUCAAGUGAAACGCUAAUGAGACUCUCUCAAAGUGGAAUUCUCUGUGUACGCUCUAAACAGUGCUCGCCGGCAAGUUCACCAUUGAAACAAAUGCCUUGAGUUGUUGAAAUGCAGGUUCACAAGUCCUGUUGGUAAUAUAAAUUUGUGAAUGGUACACAAAUCAUCCUCAGCAAACGUUUUUCGAAAAGAGGAUUUACGCAGGACCAUAGUUGCCCAUCUUGAACAACAGUCGGAACAAACCAUGGCCUGCAAAUUUGAAGGCGUUCCUCUCAUGAAGCAAGCUUUUUAUUCUCUCUGCAUCACUAUACCUUCCAACACCAGCAAAGAUGUUGGACAUAAG